AGAGUUUGAUCAUGGCUCAGAAUGAACGUUGGCGGUGUGCUUAACACAUGCAAGUCGAGCGAGAAAGUUCCUUCGGGAAUGAGUAGAGCGGCGAACGGGUGAGUAACGCGUGAGGAUCUCCCCUUCAGUGAAGGAUACCCUUGAGAAAUUAAGGUUAAUACUGCAUACGACCGUUACUAACAUAACGGAGAAAGAUGGCCUCUUGCUGUCGCUGAAAGAUGAACUUGCGUUCUAUUAGCUAGUUGGUGGGGUAAAGGCUCACCAAGGCGAUGAUGGAUAGCCGGCCUGAGAGGGUGAACGGCCACAUUGGAACUGAGAUACGGUCCAGACUCCUACGGGAGGCAGUAGUGAGGAAUAUUGCACAAUGGGCGAAAGCCUGAUGCAGCGACACCGCGUGAAGGAUGAAGGUCUUAGGAUUGUAAACUUCUGUUAAGUGGGAAAAAAGACUCGUUUCAAAUAAAAACGAGGGAUGAUAAAGGACUAGAGAAAGCAUCGGCUAACUUCGUGCCAGCCCCUUUAAAGUACA
This 526-nucleotide ribosomal RNA is filed under the name uncultured bacterium. RNAcentral describes it as "bacterial SSU rRNA". It matches the Rfam family "Bacterial small subunit ribosomal RNA", at positions 8 to 527 of the family's 1533-position model. The record is from RNAcentral.